CCAUCAUGAUUUUUCUUUGAUUUUAAUUUUAACUUUAAUUUUAACUUUUUAACUUUUGUUUUUUUUUUUUUAAAGCAGGUUGAACAGUCUCCUGAGAAAGUCAGUGCGUCUGCAUGGAAGGAGCAAGACAAACGCUUGGACAUGAGUCCCAGCUUUGCAGCUGCAGACCAGGACCGCUUUGUCAGGCAGCAGUUGGAUGAGACUUGAUGGGAGAAUCACCCAAGACAAGGAGUGCAAAGGGGUUUACCACUGCAGAGACAUGGGAGCACCUCAGCUAGGACAGCACUGUUUCGUUGAAUGAUGCAUGUGCUCCCAGUAACUCAGAUCAGAAAGGAGCUGUCAGAGACCUGCCUCUCUUGAAAAGCAUGUGGAUUUCAUCUACACAAGCAUAACUGCUAUUACUGUCAGUGGUAAUAUUCCCUUCUUGACACGAGCUUCUGGGCACAUUAGUCUAGAUUUAGACCUCAAUUUAUCCCAAGAAGUAGAUGCCAAGAAAAUUUUUCCCGGUAACUACUGAUAUCUGUGGCUUAUGAGAAGUGCGCUGCCACAGGAGAAGCGCUCUGAGAUUGAUCCUGACCCACUACUGUUACAUGUAUGUCCUACAAGAGCAAUGUUUGAUCUUGAUAACCACUGGAAUGU
This 639-nucleotide long non-coding RNA is filed under the name Chrysolophus pictus (golden pheasant). RNAcentral describes it as "lncRNA (ENSCPIG00010001374.1)". Lineage: Eukaryota; Metazoa; Chordata; Aves; Galliformes; Phasianidae. The record is from RNAcentral.